GAGUCACGGUGUACUUAAAUAAUCGCUGGGACGGUCGUUCGAACGAAAAGUGCUGACUGAUCGUAAGUGCGCGCAAGUGGAUAGAACGAAAUCAUCUUGCUGAUCACGUUCCAAGUGAAUGAAUCGGACGGAGCCGUCGUGCCUGUAUUAUUUAUAAUAUACGUACAGACAUGCAGUUUUCGUGUAGAAGACGCGUACGUGUUCGUAAUCAGUGAUUCCAACGAGGAAUGUCGCGACACACCUAUUCUACGAUUCUCUCUUCUCAACGAUACACAGCGGAGAACGUCUGGAUAAUGAAUUGUUCUAAUAUCGCAUACCAAUAUCGAGAUAUAAUAUUGGAACGUUUCGCCAAUAACGUUGCCUCUCAUCGGGCACCAUGAAUUUAUAAGAUUUAUAAUUAACGAUUCGAAACG
This 413-nucleotide unclassified non-coding RNA is filed under the name Bombus terrestris (buff-tailed bumblebee). RNAcentral's name for it is "misc RNA ENSBTSG00005023114.1". Lineage: Eukaryota; Metazoa; Arthropoda; Insecta; Hymenoptera; Apidae. The record is from RNAcentral.